UGACUACGGAUUCUUUCCAAUCCACCGACGUCACUUUAAACAUGUUCGAGGAAAGGAUGCCAUUCAUCAAUAAGGUGAUAUAGAACUGGGAGCCGUUGCUGUGUGGCCCCUUGUUGGCCAUACCCAGAGUGCCUCGCUUGGUGUGAGAAAGAGCGAAGCUCUCAUCUGAACGCAGACAUACGGAAGCCUCCGGCUGGUCGCACGUGAAAGCCCACUGGUCUUUGGCCCAGGUGACGAGAGCAUCGUUGUCCCCAAUGAACUGGCCAUCCACAAAGCACAUGACGCCACUGGAGAACUGCCACAUUUCGC
Molecule: long non-coding RNA, 309 nt
Organism: Hippocampus zosterae (dwarf seahorse)
Lineage: Eukaryota; Metazoa; Chordata; Actinopteri; Syngnathiformes; Syngnathidae
Exons: 3
Source: RefSeq, a predicted model, not a curated record